This 2623-nucleotide long non-coding RNA is filed under the name Cicer arietinum (chickpea). Its description in RNAcentral is "long non-coding RNA (CARI_LNC001254)". The record is from RNAcentral. Lineage: Eukaryota; Viridiplantae; Streptophyta; Magnoliopsida; Fabales; Fabaceae.
AUGAUAGCAAUGUUUUAGUAGGCUUUAUCUUCGUCUUGGAAAAGGAACCAUGCAUGAUUUGCCAAUUCUUAAUUUUGUUCUUUCAAAUGCAUUGAUAGGAGUUGAAACCAGAUAAGCACUAUGCUCGUCUCCCUUUUUGAUUGUCUAAUGCACUUCCAAUCUUUGGAGAGAAUUUAUAUACACAGCUAAGAACACUCACUAGAAACUUCCUAACCGAUAGUGUUCAUAAUUCUAAAUGAAACAAAUUGUUGGAGUUCCUGCUUGUAUCUAUCCUGUUAUUUCCUAAACAGGAACUAAAUAUCAAUGAUAUUUAAAAAAAUUAAGAAAGUAGAGUGUUUUAAAAAUAUUCUAUUAAAUUCAAUAAUUACAUAUAGGCUAUAUAAGAAUCAAACCCUUGUACCAACUUAAGUAUGUUACACACAUGAAAUAAUAAGAACUAGUUGUGAACAUCAAAUAGGCUCUAGGACCAAAGGGCCGCCAGAGCAAAGAAGGUAUGCAAAGUUGGGAGGGUAAACGGGUUGGCGUGCACUCCAUUGGUGAUCAUACAGCCAUUGAGCUCAUUGGUAGGGACCGGCCAGGUCUUUUGUCUGAGAUAUCAGCCGUCCUUGCAAGCCUCCAAUUCAAUGUGAUUGCGGCUGAAGUUUGGACUCAUAACAGGCGAAUAGCAUGUGUCCUUUAUGUCAAUGAUGCUACAAACCAGGCUAUGGAUGAUGACUCGAAAAGGUUGUCUAUCAUCGAGGAGCAGCUCAACCACAUCUUACGCGGAUGUGAGGAUGACGAGAAAGAGAAAGUGGCUCGGAAGACCAGUUUCUCCAUGGGCUUCACCCACAUGGACAGGAGGCUCCACCAAAUGUUGUUUGCUGAUAGGGAUUAUGAGAGUGCUGCUGGAGUAACCACAACAAAUGUUGAUUGUCCCUCUUUCAGGCCAAAUAUCAAAAUAGAACGUAUUGAGGAAAAAGGUUACUCUGUGGUUAGUGUGAGAUGCAAAGAUCGGGCAAAAUUGAUGUUUGACAUUGUCUGCACUCUCACUGACAUGGAAUAUGUUGUUUUUCAUGCCUCAAUCUCAUCUGAAGGCCCUUAUGCAUCACAGGUUUGCAAUGCAUAUAUCAUUUAUCAAUAACAACAUUCCAUUCUGUAUUUUGUAUUUACCAAUUACACACAGACACAUGAAAUGUGGACUAAGGUGUUGAUGUGUUAAUUCUUAGGAGUACUUCAUCAGGCAUGUGGAUGGAUGCACACUUGACACUGAAGGGGAGAAAGAAAGGGUCAUCAAAUGCAUUGAAGCCGCUAUUCAAAGAAGAGUAAGCGAGGUAAUACUCACAGUUUAAAUUUAAUUUUUGUUUGUUACUUUAAUCCUUGUUAGAAAAGAAGACAAGGAUGAAAUUCUGGUUCUCAACUCUUAUCAGUAAGUCUUUCAUGCUCUAAUAAGGAACUUGGUUACUGACUUAAUAUUUCUCUUGACAUGUAUUCCCCAUAGCUUCAUGUGUUCUUCUAGCUGAAGUCAGCGAUCUACUAUUCUUUUCUUUCUGCACAUUAGCUUUCCCUCUUUCUUUCCGUGAAUAUUCAGCAGAAAGUCUUCUGAGUUUGACCAAAUUAAUACAUUUUGCACCUGCAGCUAUCUACUUGUAUUGUUGCGAAUGGUACGGUAUACAUACAUGGGGAUAAGUUCCACUCAGAUUGUAUCUGACCAUCGUAUCCACCAAUGAAUCGGUGACGGUUGAUUGAUGGUCUUUUGUCUUCACUAGAGCUUAAGAUUCCUUAUGCUCCACGUAAUAUCAUCCACAUCUCUAUAACCUCAAAAUAUAUAAAAUAAAAGUAAAUGUGAUUUUAGUCUCCAUAAAAUCAUGACUAUCCAACUUUAGUCUUCAUUAAAAUUUUAUUCAUUUUUAAUCUUUAUGGUUAACUAAUUUUAAUAAGUUCUUGGCAGGACUAAAAACAUAGUUUUAUAUAGGCUAAAUUACAUCCGUGGUCCCUUAACUUAAUUUCAGGUAACGUUUUAGUCUUUUAUCUUUCUUUUUCCGAUUUAGUCAUUUAUUCCUAAAAAUAUCAAAUAAAGUAUGAAAAUAUGAGUUUAUUUGAAGAUUUACGUUACGAAUUUGAUGAAAUUUGUAUUAUAUUGAAGAAUAUAAUUAAUUUUAUGAGUUUUAAUUGAAUUUUUUUUUGAAUUUUUGUAUAAAAAAGGAUAUCAUCGUUGAAAUUUUAAAACAUAAAAUAUCAAAUUGUCACUUAAAUUUAAAAUAAAGGACCAAGUCGGAAAAAAAAAAAAGAUAAAGGACUAAAACGUUACCUGAAAUUAAGUUAAGAGACCACAAAUGUAAUUUAGCCUUUUAUAUAUUACGGGACUAUUUUUUUAAAAGUUUCGUAGACUAAAGUUGAAUUGUCGUGAUUUUGUAGGGACCAUAAUUAAUUAAUGGUGUUGAAUGUGACAAAUAUAUGUCACCAUCAGUCAUAUAUAUGCUGGACCAGCUAGCAUGCAUAUUAUUUAUCAUCUUCUAAAUUUGACAUUUAAAUUAUUUAUCAUCUUCAUACAAAUAAAUGAAUUAAUUAAUGAAUGAUGAAGAAACUAACAGACAGAAGAUGAUAGUGUUGGUUACCAUUGAUCCUCUGGAUGAUGGACACAGGG